This 450-nucleotide ribosomal RNA is filed under the name uncultured bacterium. Its description in RNAcentral is "partial 16S ribosomal RNA". It matches the Rfam family "Bacterial small subunit ribosomal RNA", at positions 354 to 796 of the family's 1533-position model. The record is from RNAcentral.
GUGGGGAAUAUUGGACAAUGGGCGAAAGCCUGAUCCAGCCAUGCCGCGUGUGUGAAGAAGGUCUUCGGAUUGUAAAGCACUUUAAGUUGGGAGGAAGGGCAGUAAGUUAAUACCUUGCUGUUUUGACGUUACCGACAGAAUAAGCACCGGCUAACUUCGUGCCAGCAGCCGCGGUAAUACGAAGGGUGCAAGCGUUAAUCGGAAUUACUGGGCGUAAAGCGCGCGUAGGUGGUUUUGUAAGUUGGAGGUGAAAUACACGGGCUCAACCUGGGAACUGCCUCCAAAACUGCAUGACUAGAGUACGGUAGAGGGUAGUGGAAUUUCAUGUGUAGCGGUGAAAUGCGUAGAUAUAGGAAGGAACACCAGUGGCGAAGGCGACUACCUGGACUGAUACUGACACUGAGGUGCGAAAGCGUGGGGAGCAAACAGGAUUAGAAACCCUGGUAGUCC